CGGAGGGAGCUAGCGUUGUUCGGAAUUACUGGGCGUAAAGCGCACGUAGGCGGCUUUGUAAGUAAGAGGUGAAAGCCUGGUGCUCAACACCAGAACUGCCUUUAGACUGCAUCGCUUGAAUCCAAGAGAGGUGAGUGGAAUUCCGAGUGUAGAGGUGAAAUUCGUAGAUAUUCGGAAGAACACCAGUGGCGAAGGCGGCUCACUGGCUUGGUAUUGACGCUGAGGUGCGAAAGCGUGGGAGCAAACAGGAUU
Molecule: ribosomal RNA, 252 nt
Filed under: uncultured bacterium
Lineage: Bacteria
Description: partial 16S ribosomal RNA
Rfam family: Bacterial small subunit ribosomal RNA
Source: RNAcentral